ACACCAUUCCCUGGGUAAAAACCAGCUGGAUGACUGGGCCCAGAGAGUGGUGGUGAAGGAGUUACAUCCUACUGGCAGCCAGUCACAAGAGAUACUCCACAGAGCUCAGUAUUUGGGCCAGUUCUGUUUAAUGUUUUUGUCAAUGAUCUGAACAAGGGGAUCAUUCAGUUUGCUGACGACACCAGGUUGGGUGGGAGUGUUGAUCUGCUGGAGGGUAGGAAUACUCUGCAGAGGGACCUGGACAGGCUGGAUUGAUGGGACAAGGCCAACAUGUAUGCGGUUCAACAAGGAUAAAUGCCGGGUCCUGCGCUUGGCUCACAGCAACCCCGUGAAGCAGUACAGGCUGGGGGAAGAGUGGCUGUAAAGCUAUCCAGUGGCAAAGGACUUGGGGAUACUGUUUGACAGCUGGUUGAACAUGAGCGAGUAGUGUGUCCAGGUGACCAAGAAGGCCGUGAUUGUCCUCAAUGAUUUUAAAGAUCUUUUCCAACCUAAACAAUUCUAUGAUCUAUGAGUUUGUAAUUUUGUUUUGUCCUUCUGUAACUGAUUUUUUGAACCUAAGGACCAAGAGAAGCCGUAAAACAAACCAAUGACAAACUAUUGCUUGUGGUUGGUAACUAUAGUGAUCUCUGGCAACUGUAGUGAUGUCUGAGAGAAGUGGAGAACGGACCUGGUCUAUUGAUAGAACCAGAGAAAAGAAUAGUGUGAUACACCCUCAGGAAACAUGAUUCAUACCUACGCUGCCUUCUUUUUUAGUAGUUCCUGUGAGACCAGCUGCUAUUGAUUAUGUUCAUCAUGUCCUACACCCUAAUCUGGGAAAGACACCUCUCUUUGCUCUGUGAGAGGAAACCUGGAUCCAAACUGGUAUUCUGACCUAAUCUGUGCAAUGAGACAAGUUGGGUGCUACAGUCUAAUCCAUGAUCUCUGCCUGGCUGAGAUCAGCCCAUGUUAAAAAUCAGUCUCAACCACUGUAGAUUUUAUGUAUGGAUCCAAGACACAUCAAAGCAUUUUCGUGACUCCAGAAUCACAAUAAAUCAUUACAUCCAAAAUUAGAUUUUGGGUCAUUUUUAUGUUUGUUAGUAUGCUUUUCUUUCUUCACAAUUAUAGAUCAACUUCAGUCAAGUGAUGUUUUCAUUUCAACACUGUUGUUUUGUUCAAAUGUAUUGAAACACUGAGCAAGUUUACAUGCAAAAUUCAA
Pseudopipra pipra is the source of this 1195-nucleotide long non-coding RNA. RefSeq lists it as uncharacterized. Lineage: Eukaryota; Metazoa; Chordata; Aves; Passeriformes; Pipridae. The transcript has 3 exons. The record is from RefSeq and is a predicted model, not a curated record.